GACGAACGCUGGCGGCGUGCUUAACACAUGCAAGUCGAACGACGAAGAAAAGAAUUGAAGCUUCGGCAGAGAUUCAUUUCGGAUUAGUGGCAGACGGGUGAGUAACGCGUGAGCAACCUACCUCUUACAAAGGGAUAGCCUCGGGAAACCGGGAUUAAUACCAUAUAACAUUGCGACGAAGCAUUUCGAUGCAAUCAAAGCUACGGCGGUAAGAGAUGGGCUCGCGUCCCAUUAACCAGAUGGUGAGGUAACGGCUCACCAUAGUAACGAUGGGUAACCGGCCUGAGAGGGUGAACGGUCACACUGGAACUGAGACACGGUCCAGACUCCUACGGGAGGCAGCAGUGGGGAAUAUUGCACAAUGGAGGGAACUCUGAUGCAGCGACGCCGCGUGAGUGAUGAAGGAAUUCGUUUCGUAAAACUCUGUUCUAUGGGAAGAAAAGGACUGUACCAUAGGAGAAAGCUCCGGCUAAAUACGUGCCAGCAGCCGCGGUAAUACGUAUGGAGCGAGCGUUGUCCGGAAUUAUUGGGCGUAAAGGGUACGUAGGCGGUUUUUUAAGUCAGGUGUGAAAGCGUGAGGCUUAACCUCAUUAAGCACUUGAAACUGGAAGACUUGAGUGAAGGAGAGGAAAGUGGAAUUCCUAGUGUAGCGGUGAAAUGCGUAGAUAUUAGGAGGAAUACCGGUGGCGAAGGCGACUUUCUGGACUUUUACUGACGCUCAGGUACGAAAGCGUGGGGAGCAAACAGG
RNAcentral lists this ribosomal RNA (748 nucleotides) under uncultured Tissierellaceae bacterium. RNAcentral's name for it is "bacterial SSU rRNA". It matches the Rfam family "Bacterial small subunit ribosomal RNA", at positions 28 to 776 of the family's 1533-position model. The record is from RNAcentral. Lineage: Bacteria; Bacillati; Bacillota; Tissierellia; Tissierellales; Tissierellaceae.